RNAcentral lists this ribosomal RNA (425 nucleotides) under uncultured bacterium. Its description in RNAcentral is "partial 16S ribosomal RNA". It matches the Rfam family "Bacterial small subunit ribosomal RNA", at positions 354 to 796 of the family's 1533-position model. The record is from RNAcentral.
GUGGGGAAUAUUGGACAAUGGGCGCAAGCCUGAUCCAGCCAUGCCGCGUGAGUGAUGAAGGCCUUAGGGUUGUAAAGCUCUUUUGUCCGGGAAGAUAAUGACUGUACCGGAAGAAUAAGCCCCGGCUAACUUCGUGCCAGCAGCCGCGGUAAUACGAAGGGGGCUAGCGUUGUUCGGAAUCACUGGGCGUAAAGCGCACGUAGGCGGACCAUUAAGUCAGGGGUGAAAGCCUGGAGCUCAACUCCAGAACUGCCUUUGAUACUGAUGGUCUCGAUUAUGGAAGAGGUUGGUGGAACUGCGAGUGUAGAGGUGAAAUUCGUAGAUAUUCGCAAGAACACCGGUGGCGAAGGCGGCCAACUGGUCCAUUACUGACGCUGAGGUGCGAAAGCGUGGGGAGCAAACAGGAUUAGAUACCCGGGUAGUCC